RNAcentral lists this unclassified non-coding RNA (1565 nucleotides) under Hevea brasiliensis (rubber tree). The record is from RNAcentral. Lineage: Eukaryota; Viridiplantae; Streptophyta; Magnoliopsida; Malpighiales; Euphorbiaceae.
CUUCAUCCUCUUAAUACUCAUAUUCAAAAUCAAUGUCUUCAUCAUCUUCCUAAUCUUUAAAAACUAUAGGAGUAUUAUUUAGUUCUCAAGUCAAUGGAUGAUGUUUUUCCUUUUUCUUUUGACAUAGAUCUUGAAAUAGGUGUAGAAGUAACAUUUUUUUGAAAAAUAUAAUAAGAAAAUGGUAGUGUUGAAAAUGGAAAUAUGGAAGGUUUGCAAUCCUAGUUGUGGUGGUUUGAUGAGAUUUUGACGACUAGUUAUCACCAGUGAUACUAAUUUCGAAAACUUCCUAGAGCGUCAAUGUAGGAUUCUGGUCGAUCGACAAAUUUUGAGUUGAGUGGAAGUGCUAACCAAAUGCGGAAAUAAAGAGGCGUGUCUUUCUAGAGCCUUGCACUUGAAAUAAGGCUCACGCCUAGUCGCAUAAGGAAUGCUUGGAAAAUUGGGCAUGAGAUAGAGUGAACUGCAAUGGAGUGCGUGGUACAGGGGAUUAUUGAGACACAGCAUGUUGAGGCCCUUGAGAUUCUUCUUCAGGGUCUUUGUGGUGUUCAUAGAGAAGAUUUCAGGAUCCAUGAAUUAUGUCUGAAAAGUGGUCCAAACCUUGGACUUGUUAAUUCAGAGGUUCGACUUUUGUUCGAUCUUUACCAGGCUGAACCUACUUGGACUGUUAAACAUGUUGGAGGUGCAAUGAGAGGUGCUGGUGCUGAGCAAAUCUCAGUCCUGGUGAGGACUAUGGUGGAAAGCAAAGCAAGCAAGAAUGUGCUUCGCUUAUUUUAUGCGCUUGGCUAUAAAUUGGAUCAUGAGUUGCUUAGAGUGGGAUUUGCCUUCCAUUUCCAAAGGGGUGCUCGGAUAACUGUGUCUGUGUCAUCUGUUAAUAAGAUGCUAAAACUACAUGCAACAGAUGGUGAUGAGGCUGUGCCAGUUACCCCUGGCAUACAAUUGGUUGAAGUAACAGCCCCUGCAACACCUGAAAAUUAUUCUGAAGUUGUUGCUGCAGUGUCCUCCUUUUGUGAAUAUCUUGCACCGCUCCUGCAUUUGUCAAAACCAGGUGUUUCAACAGGAGUUGUUCCUACUGCUGCUGCUGCUGCUGCAUCUCUUAUGUCUGAUGGCGGGGGCACAACCUUGUAGGAGCAAUUGAGAGUUCCUUGUCGUUAAAGGUACGAAGAUGUCUUUAAGAAUUCAUACUAGUUUAGGUGCCUGUGCAAUGGCAUGAUGGCCCUUCAUCCUUUGUUUGCUUCUUGUGGGUGGAUGAAUUUAAAUUUAGGAACUGCAGGUGAUCACCAAGAAAAUUGCUCAUGGAGGUGUCACCAAUGCAUUUUUGCUUAAUGGAGGCAAGGCAUGAGAGAUGGUGUGGCCUCAUUUUGAGUUUGUGGUGUAAAAUUUGUAUUUUAUAUCCUUUUUUAUGUACUAGUUUAAAGAUGAGCUUUGAAUUGCCAGAAUUAUUACCAUGGAGAAGGAACAAAAGAUUGAACUAAAUAAUUUUUAUUGUAUUAAUUUUGGAAGUUACAAGGUAGCCUAUUUAUAUAAUAAUUCUAAAGUAGAAUAUUCAGACUAGGAAAUUAAAAUAUACG